Xenopus laevis (African clawed frog) is the source of this 651-nucleotide long non-coding RNA. RefSeq lists it as uncharacterized. The record is from RefSeq and is a predicted model, not a curated record. Lineage: Eukaryota; Metazoa; Chordata; Amphibia; Anura; Pipidae. The transcript has 4 exons.
AAAUCGCUAUCUCUCUCAAAUCUCUCGGGAUAUUUCACUUUUUGGGGAGAAAUAAGAGACUGUUAGAAGGAGCAAAUUAAUGCCAAUGCAUAAACUACAGAUCCCAUAAUGCACUGUGAGGUCUGUACCCACUAUAAGGCUUUUACUGGAAGUGAGGGACGCUGACUGCUGUUGCGUGUGCUAUUUAGCUGACAAAAAUGUUGGGCAACCAGGCUGUAGACUUUUAUCACUGGCAUGUGGAAAGGGCCUUCAUCUCCCAUGAUGCACUAUAAGGGUUGACCAUAAGAGAUGAAGGAGUAUGACAGAAGGCGACCACUCCAGCACCAACGGGAGGAAAGGAAAAAAGAAUGAGAUCCUGAUAACCCGGCACAGCUCUCUCCAGAGCCAACUGAGAAUCACUGCAGACAGAUUUCCAGCAUGAGAUGUUCCAGCUACUGUUGAACUACAAAUCACACAAUCCCUGGAUGUUGUUGGCAGAUAAGAAUCCCAGGCAGCAUAAAAGAAGAAGAUGAUUGGUUGAAGAAUGGGAUGGUAUAUUCCACUGUGUCUCACAGCAGGGGGGUCAUUGAUGGUAAUGUUCCAGUAAUGAGAUGUCUAUUCCGUUUAUGAAACAGAAAGAUAUGAAGGGGGCGUGGGAGCUCCCACCAGCAA